Molecule: ribosomal RNA, 470 nt
Filed under: uncultured bacterium
Lineage: Bacteria
Description: bacterial SSU rRNA
Rfam family: Bacterial small subunit ribosomal RNA
Source: RNAcentral
AGGACGAACGCUGGCGGCGUGCCUAACACAUGCAAGUCGAGCGAUGAAGCCCUCGGGUGGAUAGCGGCGGACGGGUGAGUAACACGUGGGUAACCUGCCUUAUAGAGGGGGAUAGCCUUCCGAAAGGAAGAUUAAUACCGCAUGAAAUGUUUUUAUCGCAUGGUAGAAACAUCAAAGGAGUAAUCCGCUAUAAGAUGGACCCGCGGCGCAUUAGCUAGUUGGUGAGGUAACGGCCCACCAAGGCGACGAUGCGUAGCCGACCUGAGAGGGUGAUCGGCCACAUUGGAACUGAGACACGGUCCAGACUCCUACGGGAGGCAGCAGUGGGGAAUAUUGCGCAAUGGGGGAAACCCUGACGCAGCAACGCCGCGUGAAUGAAGAAGGCCUUAGGGUUGUAAAGUUCUGUUUUCUGGGACGAUAAUGACGGUACCAGAGGAGGAAGCCACGGCUAACUACGUGCCAGCAGCAGC